Molecule: long non-coding RNA, 1157 nt
Organism: Gallus gallus (chicken)
Lineage: Eukaryota; Metazoa; Chordata; Aves; Galliformes; Phasianidae
Source: Ensembl
CACGCUCACCUGCCUAGAAAAAGCCUUCGAGAGGGCGGCGAUGUGUCGCUGCCCUUCAGAGACGGAGAGGAGGAGUCGGGGUGUGAGAUCCACGUAGGCUGUUUUAACGAGUGUUACUGAGCCUGCUGGUUGCCAUAGGUGCACCCCGGCGGAAGGUUUGUGUCACAAAAACUGUGGAGACCCCGGCAGAGGUCCCAUGCUCAAGCAGGAGGAAGACAGUAGCCAAGAAGACUGUAGAGAGCCAGACUGAGGACCUGUGCGUGCACAAGAGGAAGGCUGAUGGUAAGAUACGUGUGGCUACUCAGACUGAGGCCCCAUCACGAGAUGCUAGUACACAGGUCACUGGCUCUGUUGACUGCUGGAGCCUGGCCUUUGCAGUGCCAGACGAUGGAGGCCGCACUUGCAUAAGAUGUGACCAACUGAAUGACUUACUCCUCUUUGUGAUUGACCUGAAGGAGGAGGUAGAGAGGCUGAGGACCAUAAAGGACUGUGAGAGGGAGAUUGACUGGUGGUGCCAGUCCCUAUCAGCCCCGAAAUCUUGGCACAUGGCUGAGGCUCUGCAUGGAGCAUGUCAACCCCUGCUGCCUUGCAAACAGGUGGUAGAAGGGAACCGGCUGGUUGAGGUGCUGCAGUGAACUCCCUGUCCUCUCCUCCCCCUGGCAGCAAUUUGAGAGAGGAGGAGGAGUGAAAACAGAUACCUGCUCGGCAAGAGGGAAAACUCAAAGUUGCAUGGAAGCUAUGCAAGGAGAAAAGAUAUGUUGCACAAUUCCAAAUGUUUCACAAUUUCCUCCCUGUCAUCAAGAAAACAGAAAAUGUUUUCAUAGGGCUACAGGUUCUCUCUCUGAGGACCAAAACCCUGAGAAGAAGAAAACCAUCUUACUGGGCCUCUGAAGGAAGUGCUGCUAACAGUGUCACAUGAAAUAUUUUUUCUGUUGUCUUGAAAUUACAGAUCUGUAAUUUAUUUCCCACCAAUUCAAGGUAAUGUAGCGUUACUCUCCUAAAUGAGACAUGUUAUAAAAGUGCACUGUGGUAAGUGUAUGUUGUUCCGUAUUUCUGUCCUAGCCCUGUGAAUGUAAAUCAGAAAUCUGUGUUGAAGAACUUGCAAACUCUUGCUCUUCCUUGUUUGUUGUACAGAUGUCUGUCAGAGGGGUUGUGAG